RNAcentral lists this ribosomal RNA (790 nucleotides) under uncultured archaeon. RNAcentral describes it as "bacterial SSU rRNA". It matches the Rfam family "Archaeal small subunit ribosomal RNA", at positions 88 to 879 of the family's 1478-position model. The record is from RNAcentral.
GCUCAGUAACACGUGGACAACCUGCCCUUAGGACGGGGAUAAACCCGGGAAACUGGGUAUAAUACCCGAUAGGUCUCGAGUGCUGGAAUGCAUCGAGAUCUAAAGCUCCGGCGCCUAAGGAUGGGUCUGCGGCCUAUCAGGUAGUAGUGGGUGUAGUGUACCUACUAGCCUACGACGGGUACGGGUUGUGAGAGCAAGAGCCCGGAGAUGGAUUCUGAGACACGAAUCCAGGCCCUACGGGGUGCAGCAGGCGCGAAAACUUUACAAUGCUGGCAACAGCGAUAAGGGAACCUCGAGUGCCAGGUUACAAAUCUGGCUGUCGUGAUGCCUAAAAAGCAUUGCAUAGCAAGGGCCGGGCAAGACCGGUGCCAGCCGCCGCGGUAACACCGGCGGCUCGAGUGGUAACCGUUAUUAUUGGGUCUAAAGGGUCUGUAGCCGGCCGGAUAAGUCUCUUGAGAAAUCUGGCAGCUUAACUGUCAGGCUUUCAGGAGAUACUGUCUGGCUCGAGGCCGGGAGAGGUGAGAGGUACUUCAGGGGUAGGGGUGAAAUCUUGUAAUCCUUGAAGGACCACCAGUGGCGAAGGCGUCUCACCAGAACGGACCUGACGGCAAGGGACGAAAGCUAGGGGCACGAACCGGAUUAGAUACCCGGGUAGUCCUAGCCGUAAACGAUACUCGCUAGGUGUCGGCCACGGUGCGACCGUUGUCGGUGCCGUAGGGAAGCCGUGAAGCGAGCCACCUGGGAAGUACGGCCGCAAGGCUGAAACUUAAAGGAAUUGGCGGGGGAGCAC